Molecule: ribosomal RNA, 428 nt
Filed under: Diaulomorpha sp. RDB-1999
Lineage: Eukaryota; Metazoa; Arthropoda; Insecta; Hymenoptera; Eulophidae
Description: eukaryotic LSU rRNA
Source: RNAcentral
CCUGAGAAACCCAAAAGAUCGAAUGGGGAGAUUCAUCGUCAGCGGUUCUGGCUUCCGUGCGGUACGCGAUGGCGGGACCUCGGUCUCGCGUCACGCUGCCGCUGCGGCAUGCCCGGAAUCGUCGGCGUGCACUUCUCCCCUAGUAGGACGUCGCGACCCGUUGGGUGUCGGAUCGAUGGCCGGUCGGUCGCCUGUCUCGCGUUCGCGCGUUUCAGACCGAUCCGGUCGAAAGUCCGGCUGCCCGGCGGUAUUGAACGAUAUGACAAGGUAUCGGGCCGCACUCGAAUGCGUUCAGGCUCGUCGGCAGGCUCGCCUCGCUCGGAUUUACGGACCUAGCGCCGUUGCCGGGUGCUUGGCGCGGCCGUUAGUCGACGAUGUCCUCGGACUGGCUCUUACCCGUCGGCGACGCUACUGCUUUGGGUACUUUC